Molecule: ribosomal RNA, 232 nt
Filed under: uncultured bacterium
Lineage: Bacteria
Description: partial 16S ribosomal RNA
Rfam family: Bacterial small subunit ribosomal RNA
Source: RNAcentral
CGGGUAGCGGAACACGUACGCAAUCUACCCAGAACUGGUGAAUAGCCCUCCGAAAGGAGGAUUAAUACACCGUAACAUAUUGAAAAGGCAUCUUUUUAAUAUAAAAGCUCCGGCGGUUUUGGAUGAGCGUGCGGCUGAUUAGGUAGUUGGCGGAGUAAUAGCCCACCAAGCCUACGAUCAGUAACUGGUGUGAGAGCACGACCAGUCACACGGGCACUGAGACACGGGCCCG